This 274-nucleotide long non-coding RNA is filed under the name Daucus carota (carrot). Its description in RNAcentral is "long non-coding RNA (DCAR_LNC002070)". Lineage: Eukaryota; Viridiplantae; Streptophyta; Magnoliopsida; Apiales; Apiaceae. The record is from RNAcentral.
GGGGUAGGGAAUCGUAAUUGCAUUGAUUCAUUCUAGUGGGGAUACUUAAUUCUGGAUGUUUUUAGUUAUUUGAUAAAAUCCUUAAUUGCUUUAGUAUAAUUAGUUUAAUAAAUCUCAAAAUAUUAUUGUGUUCCUUGCUUAGUUAAAAUUGGUCAAAAAUAACUAGUGUUUGACACAUUUGUCUCUGUGGGAUCGACUCUGACUUGCCCUGCUACAUUGUUAGGAGGAAUUGUUAGAAUUAUUAUUUGAUAGGUAUACGACAGCCUUGUCAGUA